CAGUAGCCGCGGUAAUACGAAGGGUGCAAGCGUUAAUCGGAAUUACUGGGCGUAAAGCGUGCGUAGGCGGUGAGUUAAGUCUGCUGUGAAAUCCCCGGGCUCAACCUGGGAAUGGCAGUGGAUACUGGCUCGCUAGAGUGUGUCAGAGGAUGGUGGAAUUCCCGGUGUAGCGGUGAAAUGCGUAGAGAUCGGGAGGAACAUCAGUGGCGAAGGCGGCCAUCUGGGACAACACUGACGCUGAGGCACGAAAGCGUGGGGAGCCAACAGGAUUAGAUACCCGCGUAGUCCCUGUCUCUUAUAA
Molecule: ribosomal RNA, 301 nt
Filed under: uncultured bacterium
Lineage: Bacteria
Description: partial 16S ribosomal RNA
Rfam family: Bacterial small subunit ribosomal RNA
Source: RNAcentral